Molecule: ribosomal RNA, 478 nt
Filed under: uncultured bacterium
Lineage: Bacteria
Description: bacterial SSU rRNA
Rfam family: Bacterial small subunit ribosomal RNA
Source: RNAcentral
GACGAACGCUGGCGGCGUGCCUAACACAUGUAAGUCGAACGGGACUGGGGGCAACUCCAGUUCAGUGGCAGACGGGUGCGUAACACGUGAGCAACUUGUCCGACGGCGGGGGAUAGCCGGCCCAACGGCCGGGUAAUACCGCGUACGCUUGUUUGGGGACAUCCCCAGACGAGGAAAGCCGUAAGGCACCGACGGAGAGGCUCGCGGCCUAUCAGCUAGUUGGCGGGGUAAUGGCCCACCAAGGCGACGACGGGUAGCUGGUCUGAGAGGAUGGCCAGCCACAUUGGGACUGAGACACGGCCCAGACUCCUACGGGAGGCAGCAGUGGGGAAUCUUGCGCAAUGGCCGCAAGGCUGACGCAGCGACGCCGCGUGUGGGAUGACGGCCUUCGGGUUGUAAACCACUGUCGGGAGGAACGAAUACUCGGCUUAGCCGAGGGUGACGGUACCUCCAAAGGAAGCACCGGCUAACUCCGUGC